CCUACGGGGGGCAGCAGUGAGGAAUAUUGGUCAAUGGACGAGAGUCUGAACCAGCCAAGUAGCGUGAAGGAUGACUGCCCUCUGGGUUGUAAACUUCUUUUAUAAAGGAAUAAAACGAGGCACGUGUGCCUUUUUGCAUGUACUUUAUGAAUAAGGAUCGGCUAACUCCGUGCCAGCAGCCGCGGUAAUACGGAGGAUCCGAGCGUUAUCCGGAUUUAUUGGGUUUAAGGGGAGCGUAGAUGGGUUGUUAAGUCAGUUGUGAAAGUUUGCGGCUCAACCGUAAAAUUGCAAUUGAUACUGGCAGUCUAGAUUACAGUUGAGGUAGGCGGAAUUCUUGGUGUAGCGGUGAAAUGCUUAGAGAUCACGAAGAACCCAGAUUGCGAAGGCAGCUUACUAAACUGUGACUGACAUUGAUGCUCGAAAGUGUGGGUAGCAAACAGGAUUAGAUACCCUGGUAGUC
Molecule: ribosomal RNA, 460 nt
Filed under: uncultured bacterium
Lineage: Bacteria
Description: partial 16S ribosomal RNA
Rfam family: Bacterial small subunit ribosomal RNA
Source: RNAcentral